Long non-coding RNA from Callithrix jacchus (white-tufted-ear marmoset), 1850 nucleotides. The record is from Ensembl. NCBI's taxonomy places the organism in Eukaryota, Metazoa, Chordata, Mammalia, Primates, Cebidae.
AAAAAUAUGCCAAAAAGUAAAGAGCAUUAACAUACAGAAGAAUUUACAUCAACGAAUGGAUAAAACAGCCAGUUAACAUCAAAUGGCAGUAACCCUAAAUUUAAGUCGACUAAAUCCCCCAAUCAAAAGAUACAGCCAAAACCUAAUGAUAUGCUACAUCCAGACCAAUUUCAUAUCCAAGAUACACAAAGAAUUAAAGGGAUGGAGAAAGAUUUACCAACCAAAUGGAGAGCAAAAAUAAAUGAAUAAAUAAAAAGCAGGAGUUGCAAUUCUCGCAUCUGAUAAAAUAGAUUUCAAAGCAACAAAGAUAUAGUGGUAAAAGGAUCAAUGCAACAAUAAGAGCUAAUGAUCCUAACACCCAGAUACAUAAGACUCAUAAAGAGAUUUAGACUCAACCAAACAGAAAAUUAAUAAGGAUAUCCAGGACUUGAACUCAGAUCUGGAACAAGUAAACUCAAUAAAUAUUCAUACAGCUCUCCAUUUUAAAUACACAAAAUAUACAUUCUCCACCUUAAAUAUGCAAAAUAUUGAUCAGCCAUUAUUAUACCCUUUUUUAGAAUAAAGCAAUAUUCCCGUUCUCUCUCCUUCUUUUUCUUCCUCUUUCUUCCUCUCCUACACUCCUUUUUUUCUUUCUUUAAAAAAAAUAAUUAAAAAAAUAAAAAUAAAAAUAAAUGUCUGUUCAAACAAAAAAGAAAUAAUCUGACCAGCACUUUAAACUAUUUUAUUUAUUUCAAUUUUACUCUCUGGUCUUUCUAUGUCUUAUAAUUUAAGGGCCUUUUCUCCUUUUCCUUUAUAUAAAAUUUUUAUGGAAACAUUUUUUAAAAAAUUGAAACAAAGUAUCAUUCUGUCACCCAUCUUAGAGUGCAGUGCCACAAUGGUGUCUCAUUUCAGCUUCUACCUCCUAUGCUCAAGCAGUCCUCCUACCUUAUACUCCUGAAUAGCUGGGACUACAGGUAUUCAUACCACCAUACCUGGCUAAUGUAUUUUAUUUUAUUUUUUAUAGAGAUGGGAUGCCACUAUGUUGCCCAGUCUGGUCUUGAACUUCUGGGCUCAGUGAUCCUCCUUUCAUGCUUCCAAAGUGCCAGGAUUACAGGUGAUCCCAGAUUAUCAUCAUUGAAGCAGCACUGUCAUCUUGACUAUAUCAUACUGUCAUGAAAAAAUACAAGUACUCUGGAGGAGCUACUUCCAGAAAUGUCUUUGAAGAAGCAAAAGGAUGAAAAGGUACUGGACACUGUGAUAUGACACCCAAUCUUUCUCAAGGAAGGGCUUGAAUCUGCUGUUGGGAGUACUGUCAACAGCCAUCAGCUGUCAGCCUCUUCAGGUACUGUCCAGUUCACACCCUUUCCUGAGUUGGCCCAUGUUUAAUGAAUUACAGAUAUGAAAGUAUCAAACUCUGAUCAUGUUGUCUCAAGAAAAGAUGGUUUACAUUAAUAUAGGAGACUUGAACAUGUUUAAAUAUUUGUAAAAAGAAGCCAGUAGAUAGGGACAUUUCUUUAAAAAAAAAAAAAAAAGCAAGAGAAAGCAAAGGGCUAUGAAUUCAGAACAUAGGUGAUAUUAUGAAAAAGGGUUAUGUCUGACUAAUACUGUAUAAGAAGACUCAAACAUAAUAUUUUCCUAAAUAGUAUUACUAGAGCCGGGAGCAGUAGCUCACACCUGCAAUCCCAGCACUUUGGGAGGCCAAGACAGGAGCAGUGCUUGAGGCCAGGAGUUGGAGGCAGCAGUGAGCUGUGAUUGCACCACUACACUUCAGCUUGGGUAACAGAGUGAGACUCUGUCUCUAAAGAAAAAAGAAAAGAACAUUACUAUUAUCUUUAUUAAAUUUCUAAAAUCAGAUCUGCAAUCUGCAAUAC